RNAcentral lists this ribosomal RNA (232 nucleotides) under Erythrobacter sp. RNAcentral describes it as "partial 16S ribosomal RNA". It matches the Rfam family "Bacterial small subunit ribosomal RNA", at positions 1165 to 1397 of the family's 1533-position model. Lineage: Bacteria; Pseudomonadati; Pseudomonadota; Alphaproteobacteria; Sphingomonadales; Erythrobacteraceae. The record is from RNAcentral.
GGAGGAAGGNGGGGAUGACGUCAAGUCCUCAUGGCCCUUACAGGCUGGGCUACACACGUGCUACAAUGGCAUCUACAGUGGGCAGCUAUCCCGCGAGGGUGAGCUAAUCUCCAAAAGAUGUCUCAGUUCGGAUUGUUCUCUGCAACUCGAGAGCAUGAAGGCGGAAUCGCUAGUAAUCGCGGAUCAGCAUGCCGCGGUGAAUACGUUCCCAGGCCUUGUACACACCGCCCGU